Molecule: ribosomal RNA, 254 nt
Filed under: uncultured bacterium
Lineage: Bacteria
Description: partial 16S ribosomal RNA
Rfam family: Bacterial small subunit ribosomal RNA
Source: RNAcentral
UACGGAGGGUGCGAGCGUUGUCCGGAAUUAUUGGGCGUAAAGAGCUCGUAGGCGGUGUGUCACGUCGGCCGUGAAAACCUGCAGCUUAACUGUGGGCGUGCGGUCGAUACUGGCAUCACUGGAGUUCGGCAGGGGAGACUGGAAUUCCUGGUGUAGCGGUGAAAUGCGCAGAUAUCAGGAGGAACACCGGUGGCGAAGGCGAGUCUCUGGGCCGAUACUGACGCUGAGGAGCGAAAGCGUGGGGAGCAAACAGG